Stegodyphus mimosarum is the source of this 73-nucleotide non-coding RNA. NCBI's taxonomy places the organism in Eukaryota, Metazoa, Arthropoda, Arachnida, Araneae, Eresidae. The record is from Rfam.
GCCUUCGUGGUGUAGUGGUUAGCACGCUCGACGCGUAACCAAGAGAUCCGUGGUUCGAUUCGCGGCGAAAGCU